GCGCCCGUACCUCAAUUGGACAGAGGAGCGGCCUACGAAGCCGAAUGUUGGGAGUUCGAGCCUCCCCGGGCGUG
RNAcentral lists this transfer RNA (74 nucleotides) under Chloroflexota bacterium. Its description in RNAcentral is "tRNA-Arg". It matches the Rfam family "tRNA". Rfam says of the family: Transfer RNA (tRNA) molecules are approximately 80 nucleotides in length. Their secondary structure includes four short double-helical elements and three loops (D, anti-codon, and T loops). Lineage: Bacteria; Bacillati; Chloroflexota. The record is from RNAcentral.